CAGCCGCCGCGGUAAUACGUAGGCAGCAAGCGUUGUUCGGAGUUACUGGGCGUAAAGGGUGCGUAGGCGGUUCUAUAAGUAUGGUGUGAAAUCUCCCGGCUUAACUGGGAGGGUGCGCUAUAAACUGUGGGACUAGAGUGUGGGAGAGGAAAGUGGAAUUCCUGGUGUAGCGGUGAAAUGCGUAGAUAUCAGGAGGAACACCGGUGGUGUAAACGGCUUUCUGGACCAUAACUGACGCUGAGGCACGAAAGCGUGGGUAGCAAACAGGAUUAGAUACCCCAGUAGUCCCUGUCUCUUAUAC
Molecule: ribosomal RNA, 301 nt
Filed under: uncultured bacterium
Lineage: Bacteria
Description: partial 16S ribosomal RNA
Rfam family: Bacterial small subunit ribosomal RNA
Source: RNAcentral